Molecule: ribosomal RNA, 468 nt
Filed under: uncultured bacterium
Lineage: Bacteria
Description: partial 16S ribosomal RNA
Rfam family: Bacterial small subunit ribosomal RNA
Source: RNAcentral
GACGAACGCUGGCGGCGUGCUUAACACAUGCAAGUCGAACGGAAAGGCCCUGCUCUUGUGGGGUGCUCGAGUGGCGAACGGGUGAGUAACACGUGAGUAACCUGUCCUUGACUUUGGGAUAACUUCAGGAAACUGGGGCUAAUACCGGAUAGGAGCUCUUGCUGCAUGGUGGGGGUUGGAAAGUUUCGGCGGUUGGGGAUGGUCUCGCGGCUUAUCAGCUUGUUGGUGGGGUAGUGGCUUACCAAGGCUUUGACGGGUAGCCGACCUGAGAGGGUGACCGGCGACAAUGGGCCUGAGGUAGGGCGCAGUCUCGUACGGGAGGCAGCGGUCGGGAGUCUGACACAAUGAGCGGAAGCCUGAUGCGACAGCGCCGCGUGCGGAAUGACGGCCUUCGGGUUGUAAACCGCUUUCGCCUGUGACGAAGCGUGAGUGACGGUAAUGAGUAAAAAAGCACCGGCUAACUACGUG